UGGGGAAUUUUGGACAAUGGGGGAAACCCUGAUCCAGCCAUCCCGCGUGUGCGAUGAAGGCCUUCGGGUUGUAAAGCACUUUUGGCAGGAAAGAAACGUCAUGGGUUAAUACCCCGUGAAACUGACGGUACUUGCAGAAUAAGCACCGGCUAACUACGUGCUAGCAGCCGCGGUAAUACGUAGGGUGCAAGCGUUAAUCGGAAUUACUGGGCGUAAAGCGUGCGCAGGCGGUUCGGAAAGAAAGAUGUGAAAUCCCAGAGCUCAACUUUGGAACUGCAUUUUUAACUACCGGGCUAGAGUGUGUCAGAGGGAGGUGGAAUUCCGCGUGUAGCAGUGAAAUGCGUAGAUAUGCGGAGGAACACCGAUGGCGAAGGCAGCCUCCUGGGAUAACACUGACGAUCAUGCACGAAAGGGUGGGGAGCAAACAGG
Molecule: ribosomal RNA, 429 nt
Filed under: Acidobacteriota bacterium
Lineage: Bacteria; Pseudomonadati; Acidobacteriota
Description: Acidobacteria bacterium partial 16S ribosomal RNA
Rfam family: Bacterial small subunit ribosomal RNA
Source: RNAcentral